UAGGGAAUCUUCAGCAAUGGACGAAAGUCUGACCGAGCAACGCCGCGUGAGUGAAGAAGGUUUUCGGAUCGUAAAACUCUGUUGGUAGAGAAGAACGUUGGUGAGAGUGGAAAGCUCAUCAAGUGACGGUAACUACCCAGAAAGGGACGGCUAACUACGUGCCUAG
Molecule: ribosomal RNA, 166 nt
Filed under: uncultured bacterium
Lineage: Bacteria
Description: partial 16S rRNA
Rfam family: Bacterial small subunit ribosomal RNA
Source: RNAcentral